This 395-nucleotide long non-coding RNA is filed under the name Eucalyptus grandis. RNAcentral describes it as "long non-coding RNA (EGRA_LNC007336)". The record is from RNAcentral. Lineage: Eukaryota; Viridiplantae; Streptophyta; Magnoliopsida; Myrtales; Myrtaceae.
UGAAAGGAAAACAAACAAUGAAAUGAAAAUUAAAUUGCAAGACAUGAAGUAAACAUUCAAGGAAAAAAAAACAGUAAACCUAAUCAUGCAAUUCUAAAAAUGUAAAAGAGAAAACAAUCGAGAAAGGAAGGAAACCCGCAACUCGUCGGGCUUUAUACAAUACAUGAAACCCGAGACAUAUGUCGGGAAAAUGAAUAUUACAUGACAAUGGUCGGAAUGGACAUCGACCUUCACCAUCUUCACGCUUUAUCCAUGUUCAGGAUCCUAUUCUAAACCUAGUCUAAGAAAUAAGAAUCCCUUGCCUCAGCUUAUAUGACUAAGACAAUGCAUAGAAAUCAUUAUUACAACGAACAGACAUAGGCAUCAGACAUGAACAUGAAUCUAGCAAAUUCAAG